CAAAAAUAUGAUUAGUUCAGUGGAUUUUUACAGGCAAACACUGCAACCAGGUCAAGAAAAAGAAUAUUGAUGCAAUCCAGAAGCUCCCUUGGACCGCCUGCCAAUCAUCACCCUGUCUCUUAUUCUCAAAGACAACAUCUGUUUUGACUCAUGAUGGUUUAGUUCAUCUAUGCCUGCUAAAUUUCAUUUGAGACUAUUACGAAGAAUGCCGUUUGGAGUAUUCUUGUACGUGCCUCUUGGUGCACAUCUACAUACUCUUCUGUGGUAUAUAUCCAGGAGGGGUAUUGUUGGGAAGAAGAAAAAAAGCAGUUUGGUGAAAUUAAAGAAUGUGAACUUUGAAUUCAGCCUAUAAUUUGAAUCUUGGCAUCAAUAUUCCUCUGAUUGAUGACUUUGGGAAGGCUGAUGGCCAUUUAUCUUGUGUCUUCAUGAGCAAAGAAGAACAUAAAAUUGAGAAGAUAUCCCAAGAUGCCAUUAUUUAUAGACAUUCUUAAUAAUUCAACUCUGUAAUUAUGCUACUUCCCUACAAUUUUUGUAUGUUUAUUUUAUGUCCUUCUA
RNAcentral lists this long non-coding RNA (555 nucleotides) under Homo sapiens (human). RNAcentral describes it as "HSALNT0339647". The record is from RNAcentral. Lineage: Eukaryota; Metazoa; Chordata; Mammalia; Primates; Hominidae.